Molecule: ribosomal RNA, 305 nt
Filed under: uncultured bacterium
Lineage: Bacteria
Description: bacterial SSU rRNA
Rfam family: Bacterial small subunit ribosomal RNA
Source: RNAcentral
GUAACCUACGGGGGGCAGCAGUGGGGAAUAUUGCACAAUGGGGGAAACCCUGAUGCAGCGACGCCGCGUGAAGGAAGAAGUAUUUCGGUAUGUAAACUUCUAUCAGCAGGGAAGAAAAUGACGGUACCUGACUAAGAAGCCCCGGCUAACUACGUGCCAGCAGCCGCGGUAAUACGUAGGGGGCAAGCGUUAUCCGGAUUUACUGGGUGUAAAGGGAGCGUAGGCGGUGCAGCAAGUCAGAAGUGAAAGCCGGGGGCCCAACUCCGGGACUGCUUUUGAAACUGUUUAACUAGAUUGCAGGUGAG